Molecule: ribosomal RNA, 404 nt
Filed under: uncultured bacterium
Lineage: Bacteria
Description: bacterial SSU rRNA
Rfam family: Bacterial small subunit ribosomal RNA
Source: RNAcentral
AACGAACGCUGGCGGCGUGCCCAACACAUGCAAGUCGUGCGAGAAAGUUCCUUCGGGAGCGAGUAAAGCGGCGCACGGGUGAGUAACACGUAGGUAACCUGCCCCCCAGUCUGGAACAACUAGAGGAAACCCUAGCUAAUGCCGGAUGAGACCACGAUCCCUUCGGGGGGUUGCGGCCAAAGAUGGCCUCUACUUGUAAGCUAUCGCUGAGGGAUGGGCCUGCGGGCCAUUAGCUUGUUGGUGAGGUAACGGCUCACCAAGGCUGUGAUGGCUAGCUGGUCUGAGAGGAUGACCAGCCACACUGGGACUGAGACACGGCCCAGACUCCUACGGAGGCAGCAGUGGGGAAUAUUGCGCAAUGGGCGAAAGCCUGACGCAGCGACGCCGCGUGGGUGAUGAAGGCC